UACAGAGGUCUCAAGCGUUGUUCGGAUUCAUUGGGCGUAAAGGGUGCGUAGGCGGCGCGGUAAGUCGGGUGUGAAAUCUCGGAGCUUAACUCCGAAACUGCAUUCGAUACUGCCGUGCUUGAGGACUGGAGAGGAGAAUGGAAUUCCCGGUGUAGCGGUGAAAUGCGCAGAUAUCAGGAGGAACACCGGUGGCGAAGGCGGGUCUCUGGGCAACAACUGACGCUGAGGAGCGAAAGCGUGGGGAGCGAACAGG
RNAcentral lists this ribosomal RNA (253 nucleotides) under uncultured bacterium. Its description in RNAcentral is "partial 16S ribosomal RNA". It matches the Rfam family "Bacterial small subunit ribosomal RNA", at positions 524 to 776 of the family's 1533-position model. The record is from RNAcentral.